GAGGGGGCAAGCGUUGUUCGGAAUUACUGGGCGUAAAGGGCGCGUAGGCGGCCUGUUAAGUCGAACGUGAAAUCCCCGGGCUCAACCCGGGAACUGCGUCCGAUACUGGCAGGCUUGAAUCCGGGAGAGGGAUGCGGAAUUCCAGGUGUAGCGGUGAAAUGCGUAGAUAUCUGGAGGAACACCGGUGGCGAAGGCGGCAUCCUGGACCGGCAUUGACGCUGAGGCGCGAAAGCCAGGGGAGCAAACGGGAUUAGAUACCCCGGUAGUCCUGGCCCUAAACGAUGAAUGCUUGGUGUGGCGGGUAUCGAUCCCUGCCGUGCCGAAGCUAACGCAUUAAGCAUUCCGCCUGGGGAGUACGGUCGCAAGGCUG
RNAcentral lists this ribosomal RNA (370 nucleotides) under uncultured organism. RNAcentral describes it as "bacterial SSU rRNA". It matches the Rfam family "Bacterial small subunit ribosomal RNA", at positions 528 to 896 of the family's 1533-position model. The record is from RNAcentral.